Molecule: ribosomal RNA, 468 nt
Filed under: uncultured bacterium
Lineage: Bacteria
Description: partial 16S ribosomal RNA
Rfam family: Bacterial small subunit ribosomal RNA
Source: RNAcentral
GACGAACGCUGGCGGCGUGCUUAACACAUGCAAGUCGAACGGAAAGGCCCUUCUUUUGUGGGGUGCUCGAGUGGCGAACGGGUGAGUAACACGUGAGUAACCUGCCCUUGACUUUGGGAUAACUUCAGGAAACUGGGGCUAAUACCGGAUAGGAGCUCCUGCUGCAUGGUGGGGUUUGGAAAGUUUCGGCGGUUGGGGAUGGACUCGCGGCUUAUCAGCUUGUUGGUGGGGUAGUGGCUUACCAAGGCGUUGACGGGUAGCCGGCCUGAGAGGGUGACCGGCCACAUUGGGACUGAGAUACGGCCCAGACUCCUACGGGAGGCAGCAGUGGGGAAUAUUGCACAAUGGGCGGAAGCCUGAUGCAGCAACGCCGCGUGCGGGAUGACGGCCUUCGGGUUGUAAACCGCUUUCGCCUGUGACGAAGCGUGAGUGACGGUAAUGGGUAAAGAAGCACCGGCUAACUACGUG